Molecule: ribosomal RNA, 496 nt
Filed under: uncultured bacterium
Lineage: Bacteria
Description: partial 16S ribosomal RNA
Rfam family: Bacterial small subunit ribosomal RNA
Source: RNAcentral
AUGAACGCUGGCGGCGUGCCUAAUACAUGCAAGUCGAGCGAACAGAUGAGGAGCUUGCUCCUCUGACGUUAGCGGCGGACGGGGGAGUAACACGUGGAUAACCUACCUAUAAGACUGGGAUAACUUCGGGAAACCGGAGCUAAUACCGGAUAAUAUAUUUAACCGCAUGGUUCAAUAGUGAAAGACGGUUUUGCUGUCACUUAUAGAUGGAUCCGCGCCGCAUUAGCUAGUUGGUAAGGUAACGGCUUACCAAGGCAACGAUGCGUAGCCGACCUGAGAGGGUGAUCGGCCACACUGGAACUGAGACACGGUCCAGACUCCUACGGGAGGCAGCAGUAGGGAAUCUUCCGCAAUGGGCGAAAGCCUGACGGAGCAACGCCGCGUGAGUGAUGAAGGUCUUCGGAUCGUAAAACUCUGUUAUUAGGGAAGAACAAAUGUGUAAGUAACUAUGCACGUCUUGACGGUACCUAAUCAGAAAGCCACGGCUAACUACGUG